Molecule: ribosomal RNA, 449 nt
Filed under: uncultured bacterium
Lineage: Bacteria
Description: bacterial SSU rRNA
Rfam family: Bacterial small subunit ribosomal RNA
Source: RNAcentral
GCCAGACUCCUACGGGAGGCAGCAGUGGGGAAUAUUGGGCAAUGGGCGCAAGCCUGACCCAGCAACGCCGCGUGAAGGAAGAAGGCUUUCGGGUUGUAAACUUCUUUUAUGAGGGACGAGAGAAAUGACGGUACCUCAUGAAUAAGCCACGGCUAACUACGUGCCAGCAGCCGCGGUAAUACGUAGGUGGCAAGCGUUAUCCGGAUUUACUGGGUGUAAAGGGCGUGUAGGCGGGACUGCAAGUCAGAUGUGAAAAUUAUGGGCUCAACCCAUAACCUGCAUUUGAAACUGUAGUUCUUGAGUGAUGGAGAGGCAGGCGGAAUUCCGUGUGUAGCGGUGAAAUGCGUAGAUAUUAGGAGGAACACCAGUGGCGAAGGCGGCUUGCUGGACAGAGACUGACGUUGAGGCUCGAAAGCGUGGGGAGCAAACAGGAUUAGAUACCCCUGUAC